GAAAGUCUAUGCCUUUUUCUACACUAUUUCUCCUUCUCCACCAACAUCCUCCCCCCUUCGGGUUGAUACUGCAGAGAAGUGGGCCUCUGGCUUUAAAUGAUCACAGCUGUGCGAGCAAAUUAAUGGAUGAUAUUUCUCUGUUUUCCCCCCUUUCUACAACGUUUUUCAACAUGGAUUUAUAAAGAGGGAAAGAGGGACCAGGGGUGUCACGCUUCUACGUUUUCCCCCUCCUCUUUCCAAUUAUUCAUGCAUCUCAGUCUGCUCAACUAUGAGAGAGAGGAAGAGUGUGCAUGUGUGUGUCCUGGGAGAGAGAGCAGGCGAGAGAGAUGGCGAGGGAGGGAGAAAAUGAAAUGUAAGACAGAUACGGAGAGUGAAAGAGAAGAAGGGAGUGUGGAGAGAGCAAGCUAGCGAGAGUCGAGAGCCAGUAAUGCGGUGCAUUGAUGCAUUUGCUGCUUCUCAGACGUGCUCUUUUGGUGGGACGUAGCCCGGGGUUUUUGGCAGCAGCAGGCUUCCUGUUUUCCAUUACCCAAUCAAACCAGACCUGGAAUAGGGAUAAACGCACGAACGGAGUUGCCGCGGCUGAGCAGCGCUGGACGAGUGAGGCUGCGAGAAAACUGUGAUCGGCUUCAUACUCAUCCUCAUCCUCACACCAGGAUGAUAUGUAAAUCUAGCAGCCUCCAUGUCAGAAACGGACUUCGGGUCACUGAGUUUAGGCUCUACAAGUUCAAGAAAACACUUCGACAAUGGCGUAGCAAAUGGCUGUUACAUUACCAGAACCCCAAGGAGGCUUUUCUGCGUAAACCUGCUGACCCUACGCAAGCAAGACAUGCCCGUCUGACUGUAAUAAACCCCCCGUAGGGGGCCCAAGUCUCCCUCUCUCACCUUCCUAAAGCACUUCCAGUUGCUGGCUCCCCUCUCUCUGCCGUGGCUCUGACGUCGGAGUCGAAUCUCCUACUUUGUCUUGAUUGUAUUAAAUCUGCAAAACACAAAUUAAAAUGAAUUUAAAAGAAAUAAACUAUGAAAUGCUU
This is a long non-coding RNA of Carassius carassius (crucian carp), 1028 nucleotides long. RefSeq lists it as uncharacterized. The record is from RefSeq and is a predicted model, not a curated record. The transcript is spliced from 3 exons. Lineage: Eukaryota; Metazoa; Chordata; Actinopteri; Cypriniformes; Cyprinidae.